UUUAUUGGAGAGUUUGAUCCUGGCUCAGGAUGAACGCUGGCGGCGUGCCUAAUACAUGCAAGUCGAGCGAAUGGAUUGAGAGCUUGCUCUCAAGAAGUUAGCGGCGGACGGGUGAGUAACACGUGGGUAACCUGCCCAUAAGACUGGGAUAACUCCGGGAAACCGGGGCUAAUACCGGAUAACAUUUUGAACUGCAUGGUUCGAAAUUGAAAGGCGGCUUCGGCUGUCACUUAUGGAUGGACCCGCGUCGCAUUAGCUAGUUGGUGAGGUAACGGCUCACCAAGGCAACGAUGCGUAGCCGACCUGAGAGGGUGAUCGGCCACACUGGGACUGAGACACGGCCC
Molecule: ribosomal RNA, 344 nt
Filed under: Bacillus cereus
Lineage: Bacteria; Bacillati; Bacillota; Bacilli; Caryophanales; Bacillaceae
Description: bacterial SSU rRNA
Rfam family: Bacterial small subunit ribosomal RNA
Source: RNAcentral